RNAcentral lists this ribosomal RNA (803 nucleotides) under uncultured Pelagibacteraceae bacterium. RNAcentral's name for it is "bacterial SSU rRNA". It matches the Rfam family "Bacterial small subunit ribosomal RNA", at positions 33 to 884 of the family's 1533-position model. Lineage: Bacteria; Pseudomonadati; Pseudomonadota; Alphaproteobacteria; Candidatus Pelagibacterales; Candidatus Pelagibacteraceae. The record is from RNAcentral.
ACGCUGGCGGCACGCCUAAUACAUGCAAGUCGAACGGAGUAGCAAUACUUAGUGGCAGACGGGUGAGUAACAUGUGGGUAUCUUCCCUUUGGUGAGGAAUAACACGAGGAAACUUGUGCUAAUACCUCAUAAGUCUUUACGGAGAAAGCUUUAUGCGCCAUUGGAUGAGCCCGCACUUGAUUAGUUUGUUGGUGGGGUAAAAGCCUACCAAGACUGUGAUCAAUAGCUGAUUUGAGAGGAUGAUCAGCCACAUUGGGACUGAGACACGGCCCAAACUCCUACGGGAGGCAGCAGUAGGGAAUCUUGCACAAUGGAGGAAACUCUGAUGCAGCGAUGCCGCGUGAGUGAAGAAGGCCUUUGGGUUGUAAAGCUCUUUCGUCGGGGAAGAAAAUGACUGUACCCGAAUAAGAAGGUCCGGCUAACUUCGUGCCAGCAGCCGCGGUAAUACGAAGGGACCUAGCGUAGUUCGGAAUUACUGGGCUUAAAGAGUUCGUAGGUGGUUAAAAAAGUUGGUGGUGAAAGCCCAGAGCUUAACUCUGGAACUGCCAUCAAAACUUUUUAGCUAGAGUAUGAUAGAGGAAAGCAGAAUUUCUAGUGUAGAGGUGAAAUUCGUAGAUAUUAGAAAGAAUACCAAUUGCGAAGGCAGCUUUCUGGAUCAUUACUGACACUGAGGAACGAAAGCAUGGGUAGCGAAGAGGAUUAGAUACCCUCGUAGUCCAUGCCGUAAACGAUGUGUGUUAGAUGUUGGAAAUUUAUUUUCAGUAUCGCAGCGAAAGCGAUAAACACACCGCCUGGGGAGUACG